Pelobates cultripes (western spadefoot toad) is the source of this 96-nucleotide non-coding RNA. Lineage: Eukaryota; Metazoa; Chordata; Amphibia; Anura; Pelobatidae. The record is from the annotation of a GenBank genome assembly.
GGUAUGAAUAAAGAGUAAAAAAAGCAUUUAUUACUUACAUACUUUGAUGUAAGUAAUAAAUGCUUUUUUUACUCUUUAUUCAUACAGUCCAUUUAU